AUUGAACGCUGGCGGCAUGCCUUACACAUGCAAGUCGAACGGUAACAGGUCUUCGGAUGCUGACGAGUGGCGAACGGGUGAGUAAUACAUCGGAACGUGCCCGAUCGUGGGGGAUAACGCAGCGAAAGCUGUGCUAAUACCGCAUACGAUCUACGGAUGAAAGCGGGGGAUCGCAAGACCUCGCGCGGACGGAGCGGCCGAUGGCAGAUUAGGUAGUUGGUGGGAUAAAAGCUUACCAAGCCGACGAUCUGUAGCUGGUCUGAGAGGACGACCAGCCACACUGGGACUGAGACACGGCCCAGACUCCUACGGGAGGCAGCAGUGGGGAAUUUUGGACAAUGGGGGAAACCCUGAUCCAGCCAUGCCGCGUGCAGGAUGAAGGCCUUCGGGUUGUAAACUGCUUUUGUACGGAACGAAAGGUACCUUUCUAAUAAAGAAGGCUCAUGACGGUACCGUAAGAAUAAGACACCGGCGUAACUACGUGCCAGCAGCGCGGUAAGCUACG
RNAcentral lists this ribosomal RNA (505 nucleotides) under uncultured bacterium. Its description in RNAcentral is "bacterial SSU rRNA". It matches the Rfam family "Bacterial small subunit ribosomal RNA", at positions 30 to 527 of the family's 1533-position model. The record is from RNAcentral.